UAAGUGGCGGACGGGUGAGUAAUGUAUAGUUAAUCUGCCCCCUAGAGAGGGAUAACUACUGGAAACGGUAGCUAAUACCUCAUACUCCUUUUACCUUAAUGGUAAUUGGGAAAUGUCUUUUCGCUAGGGGAUGAGACUAUAUGGUAUCAGGUAGUUGGUGGGGUAAGAGCCCACCAAGCCAAUGACGCCUAGCUGGUCUGAGAGGAUGAUCAGCCACACCGGAACUGAGACACGGUCCAGACUCCUACGGGAGGCAGCAGUGGGGAAUAUUGCACAAUGGAGGAAACUCUGAUGCAGCAACGCCGCGUGGAGGAUGACACAUUUCGGUGCGUAAACUCCUUUUAUAUGGGAAGAUAAUGACGGUACCAUAUGAAUAAGCACCGGCUAACUCCGUGCCAGCAGCCGCGGUAAUACGGAGGGUGCAAGCGUUACUCGGAAUCACUGGGCGUAAAGCGCGCGCAGGCGGCUAUUUAAGUUGGAUGUGAAAGCCUACGGCUCAACCGUAGAACUGCAUCCAAAACUAUUUAGCUAGAGUGUGGGAGAGGAAGAUGGAAUUAGUUGUGUAGGGGUAAAAUCCGUAGAGAUAACUAGGAAUACCAAAAGCGAAGGCAAUCUUCUGGAACAUUACUGACGCUGAGGCGCGAAAGCGUGGGGAGCAAACAGAGAAUUAGAUACCCUGGUAGUCCACGCCCUAAACGAUGAAU
RNAcentral lists this ribosomal RNA (704 nucleotides) under uncultured bacterium. RNAcentral describes it as "bacterial SSU rRNA". It matches the Rfam family "Bacterial small subunit ribosomal RNA", at positions 92 to 814 of the family's 1533-position model. The record is from RNAcentral.